This 756-nucleotide ribosomal RNA is filed under the name uncultured Mycobacterium sp. Its description in RNAcentral is "bacterial SSU rRNA". It matches the Rfam family "Bacterial small subunit ribosomal RNA", at positions 588 to 1342 of the family's 1533-position model. The record is from RNAcentral. Lineage: Bacteria; Bacillati; Actinomycetota; Actinomycetes; Mycobacteriales; Mycobacteriaceae.
UUGUUCGUGAAAUCUCACGGCUUAACUGUGAGCGUGCGGGCGAUACGGGCAGACUUGAGUACUGCAGGGGAGACUGGAAUUCCUGGUGUAGCGGUGGAAUGCGCAGAUAUCAGGAGGAACACCGGUGGCGAAGGCGGGUCUCUGGGCAGUAACUGACGCUGAGGAGCGAAAGCGUGGGGAGCGAACAGGAUUAGAUACCCUGGUAGUCCACGCCGUAAACGGUGGGUACUAGGUGUGGGUUUCCUUCCUUGGGAUCCGUGCCGUAGCUAACGCAUUAAGUACCCCGCCUGGGGAGUACGGCCGCAAGGCUAAAACUCAAAGAAAUUGACGGGGGCCCGCACAAGCGGCGGAGCAUGUGGAUUAAUUCGAUGCAACGCGAAGAACCCUACCUGGUUUUGACAUGCACAGGACGCCGGCAGAGAUGUCGGUUCCCUUGUGGCCUGUGUGCAGGUGGUGCAUGGCUGUCGUCAGCUCGUGUCGUGAGAUGUUGGGUUAAGUCCCGCAACGAGCGCAACCCUUGUCUCAUGUUGCCAGCGGGUAAUGCCGGGGACUCGUGAGAGACUGCCGGGGUCAACUCGGAGGAAGGUGGGGAUGACGUCAAGUCAUCAUGCCCCUUAUGUCCAGGGCUUCACACAUGCUACAAUGGCCGGUACAAAGGGCUGCGAUGCCGCGAGGUUAAGCGAAUCCUUUUAAAGCCGGUCUCAGUUCGGAUCGGGGUCUGCAACUCGACCCCGUGAAGUCGGAGUCGCUAGUAAU